AGUGAACGCUGGCGGUAGGCCUAACACAUGCAAGUCGAACGGCAGCACAGUAAGAGCUUGCUCUUACGGGUGGCGAGUGGCGGACGGGUGAGGAAUACAUCGGAAUCUACUUUUUCGUGGGGGAUAACGUAGGGAAACUUACGCUAAUACCGCAUACGACCUACGGGUGAAAGCAGGGGAUCUUCGGACCUUGCGCGAUUGAAUGAGCCGAUGUCGGAUUAGCUAGUUGGCGGGGUAAAGGCCCACCAAGGCGACGAUCCGUAGCUGGUCUGAGAGGAUGAUCAGCCACACUGGAACUGAGACACGGUCCAGACUCCUACGGGAGGCAGCAGUGGGGAAUAUUGGACAAAGGGCGCAAGCCUGAUCCAGCCAUACCGCGUAGGUGAAGAAGGCCUUCGGGUUGUAAAGCCCUUUUGUUGGGAAAGAAAAGCAGCAGGUUAAUACCCCGCUGUUCUGACGGUACCCAAGGAAUAAGCACCGGCUAACUUCGUG
This 492-nucleotide ribosomal RNA is filed under the name uncultured bacterium. RNAcentral's name for it is "partial 16S ribosomal RNA". It matches the Rfam family "Bacterial small subunit ribosomal RNA", at positions 29 to 507 of the family's 1533-position model. The record is from RNAcentral.